AUGCUAAGAAAAUACACAUGCAGGUUUAAGCUCAGAAAUAGCCCCCAGGGAGCUCUCUGCAGUGUUAGAUUUAUCAAAAAGCGGGGGGGGGGGGCAGCUCCUGUAUCUUUUCCAUGUUUACACUGGCAAUCACCGAGAGCCCAACUGAGGACAGGCGCAUGGAGACAACAGGUGCACUGCGGUCCCACUCAACAUCCUCUUCUCCAAAAUGCUCUGUCCAUGACCGGAAGACACACAGACUCAAGAUUCCUUGCCCUAACCCACCCCAGUUUCAGGAGGAUACUUCUACUACCCCUAUUCCAUUGAACAAGAUGUACAACACUCUAUACUGCCGCAGGGAAGUAGCUUUCUGAGGGAGGACUUGUCAACAGAUUCGGAGAGGAAAUUUAUCAACCUGUCAAACCGCACUGGGGUUCUUGUUUUGUUUUUUAAAACUAUCCAGAGCAUCACUGGUUAUUUUCCACUGGGUCAGUCCGGGCCCAUAAGCACCGGCUAUUUUUUAAUUCCCUUAGCUAGUGGCAACUUAUUUCCCCAUAAAUAUAAACAUUAAUGAUAGGGGCAAGACAGCAGCCACUCAACCCGGAUUAAAAUGGAAAGCUAAUGAUAUUGCAUCCGUUUCCAGGGAAAAGUUUAGCAGAUUAAUUCUUCUCUCCCCCACGCCCUCCUUCCUUCAGUUCUUUCCACAGCAACUCCAUUAUUGCAAAAGGCCCCUUCCCUUCCCUUCAGCCUUAUGUAAAAUCUCACCGGAGAGACAGGGAAAAAAGACCUUUUAAACGUCCUCACCAACCACCACCACCAGGCGGAAGAAACAGAGACGCAGCCCCCUAAAUCAUGACAGGGCAAUAGUGGAAGCCCACCUCUUCCCUUGAAGCAUGCACACAAAGAGAGGCUGCGUUGCCCCCAUUGAUAAAAAAAUAAAUUAAGAGGGCGUCGGGCAGACGAGGCGGAUUCACCGGAGCGUCUGCGCAGGCAGGUGAACAUGUUAGACACCGGUUGCAGAGGAUGCAAGCAUGCAUGCACUCCGGCUGCAAAGCGCCCGAGCGGGGAGCCGCUGGGUGGAAGCGAUGCAGCGAAAUAACGCUGAAAUAAUGCAAAACGUCCAAAACGAGCAAGCCCACGCUGCCGUCUCUUUCUCGCCGCGUCCAAACCCAAGUUACCUUUGGACAGCGAAACGGUUUGGGGUCGUGUUUUGCCUUUUUAGCGUAUUGGGGGGGGUGUCUGGAGAUAGGCAGCCGUCGCCACGCCAGUUCCCCCCCUG
Molecule: long non-coding RNA, 1258 nt
Filed under: Podarcis muralis (Common wall lizard)
Lineage: Eukaryota; Metazoa; Chordata; Lepidosauria; Squamata; Lacertidae
Description: lncRNA (ENSPMRG00000016305.1)
Source: RNAcentral